RNAcentral lists this long non-coding RNA (307 nucleotides) under Elaeis guineensis (African oil palm). Its description in RNAcentral is "long non-coding RNA (EGUI_LNC075052)". The record is from RNAcentral. Lineage: Eukaryota; Viridiplantae; Streptophyta; Magnoliopsida; Arecales; Arecaceae.
UUACAUAAAAAUUAAAUAUAAAAAAUAAAAUAAAAAUCUAUUUACAGGCUUUAUCGUAUUCCUAAAUUGAAAGAAUUUAGCCACGCAUCAAGCUCUUUAACUCCAUAAUCUCUCAAUAUUUGAUCCCUAAAGCUCUUUAAUUUUUUUCUCUAUUUUUUUCUUGUUUUUUUUCUGAUUUUUUCUCCUCCUAAAGCUUAUUCCUGAACCUCUUAUUUAUAGAUAAUUUUUUUAUAAUUUUUUGGUAGGAAAAAGAGUCCUAAAAUCUUUAGAAAUCGUAUAAAAAUUCUUAAAAUUUUUUUUGGCCAUC